This 76-nucleotide transfer RNA is filed under the name Chloroflexales bacterium ZM16-3. RNAcentral describes it as "tRNA-Thr". It matches the Rfam family "tRNA". Rfam says of the family: Transfer RNA (tRNA) molecules are approximately 80 nucleotides in length. Their secondary structure includes four short double-helical elements and three loops (D, anti-codon, and T loops). RNAcentral also lists the same sequence under 1 other name. Lineage: Bacteria; Bacillati; Chloroflexota; Chloroflexia; Chloroflexales. The record is from RNAcentral.
GCCAAUGUAGCUCAGUUGGUAGAGCAGCUGUUUCGUAAACAGCAGGUCGAGAGUUCGAGCCUCUCCAUUGGCUCCA